CGGAGAGUUCGAAAUUCGAAUGAAUGGCGGGAACACAUAGUAGACAGGCUGGUCGACGUAGAGGACAGUCAUGCAGCUUGCCAAAAUCCCAUUUAUCACCAUUGAAUGAAUGUGUCGGGAGGAGGAGCCGGUAUUCCCCUCCUCUCCCUAGAGAGCAUGAGCAGCAUGGCAAAUGCUGAUUCUGAGGCAGCAGAGCCCAAGAGAAGAUCUGAGCGAUUGGUUAACAAACCGGCUACUCCAAAGGCAGAGCCCAAGCCAAAGAAGGAGAAGGCAGCACCUAAGCCCAAGAAGGCUAAAGAGGUGAAGAAGACUGAGCCUGAGGAGAAGGAGGAGGUGCCCGCAGAGAAUGGGGAAGCCAAAGCUGAGGAUGAGGCACCAGCCACAGAUGAACCUGAACAGAAAGAUGAUGAAGAGGAGGCAGCAGAAUAACAUCUCUCAAACCACAUCUUUUAUCAGUGCUCCCUGUACCUCUUUUUCUUGUACAAUUCAGGGGAAUAUUUUUAUCGACUUUUCUAAAUGCAGGUUUUUUAGUAGUUUGAUUGUAGAAACAUUUUUUUAUGAAACAAAAUAAAUUUGGAGACAGGGAUUUCAAUGCAUCCCGCAUUUUUACAUCUCCGGAACAAUUAUGGUCAUUGUAAAUUGUCAAAUGUUUUUAUUUUCAAUGUAGGGGAAAGAAGGGGUGGGACAGGUUGCUGUAUCAAGAACAUGCAAUCACGUCGUUUACAGGAUCCGGUUGAAACAACAGAGCUUGCCUAAAAAGAGACUAACAUUCCAUAGGCUAUAUGAGGGACGGUAUAUGUAACCUGCAUUGUGUGGUGGGGAGGGGAUGAAUAACUGAACACAUUGUUGUAUUGUUUAUAAUGAGGAAAUGCGUUUUAGAAUGUUUGUAAGCUGUGUUCCACAUGUUAACUCUUGUACUCAUGGCAACUUUUUUUUGCUUUUUUUUUUUUUUUUUCGAACCAUUCUGCUUAAUAAACCUUUUCUCUAGUACUGGAGUUUCUCCCUAUCAGGCCUGUGCAUUGCGCGUAAUUGGUUUUGUCUUUGUUUUGUGAUAGCAUUGCAAUACAUUUGUAUAGAUGCUGUUAAAAAGGGUUUUCAAACAUUAUAUGCAGUGUGUACACUGUGAGGAUGGUAAAAAUGGAAUUCUGUGUUUUUAGCAAAGCUAAUGACAUGCAUAACAGUGUGAUACAAACAGUGGAUUAUAGUUCCUUGAAUGCAGAGACUGUGCGUCCACUGGAGCUGUCAAAUACACACACCAGCAGUAGCAAUAUUCAUAUGCGUUUUAGGUAUCAAGUUCAAGUGUACAGUUUCUUUUAUUUGUUUAUAGAUGUAUCUGUGUAAUGAUUGGUAUAAACCAAUAAAAUGUGGUUAUAAUUGUUGUCUAAUUGUGUUAUGAAAAUAAUGUGUGA
Esox lucius (northern pike) is the source of this 1409-nucleotide long non-coding RNA. NCBI's taxonomy places the organism in Eukaryota, Metazoa, Chordata, Actinopteri, Esociformes, Esocidae. The record is from Ensembl.